AGGGAAUCUUCCGCAAUGGGCGAAAGCCUGACGGAGCAACGCCGCGUGAGUGAUGAAGGUCUUCGGAUCGUAAAACUCUGUUAUUAGGGAAGAACAAAUGUGUAAGUAACUAUGCACGUCUUGACGGUACCUAAUCAGAAAGCCACGGCUAACUACGUGCCAGCAGCCGCGGUAAUACGUAGGUGGCAAGCGUUAUCCGGAAUUAUUGGGCGUAAAGCGCGCGUAGGCGGUUUUUUAAGUCUGAUGUGAAAGCCCACGGCUCAACCGUGGAGGGUCAUUGGAAACUGGAAAACUUGAGUGCAGAAGAGGAAAGUGGAAUUCCAUGUGUAGCGGUGAAAUGCGCAGAGAUAUGGAGGAACACCAGUGGCGAAGGCGACCUUCUGGUCUGUAACUGACGCUGAUGUGCGAAAGCGUGGGGAUCAAACAGGAUUAGAUACCCUGGUAGUCCACGCCGUAAACGAUGAGUGCUAAGUGUUAGGGGGUUUCCGCCCCUUAGUGCUGCAGCUAACGCAUUAAGCACUCCGCCUGGGGAGUACGACCGCAAGGUUG
This 549-nucleotide ribosomal RNA is filed under the name uncultured bacterium. RNAcentral describes it as "bacterial SSU rRNA". It matches the Rfam family "Bacterial small subunit ribosomal RNA", at positions 356 to 896 of the family's 1533-position model. The record is from RNAcentral.